Molecule: unclassified non-coding RNA, 121 nt
Filed under: Metalysinibacillus saudimassiliensis
Lineage: Bacteria; Bacillati; Bacillota; Bacilli; Caryophanales; Caryophanaceae
Description: yybP-ykoY
Source: RNAcentral
CAUUUCGUCAAAGGGGAGUAGCUAUAAACGAUACUUAUCGUUUACUUUACGUUCGUCAUUACGUGAUACUAUCACCGGACGUAAUAACAUUAACUUGUUUAGCAAGACCUUUGCCUAUUAC